RNAcentral lists this ribosomal RNA (256 nucleotides) under uncultured bacterium. RNAcentral's name for it is "partial 16S ribosomal RNA". It matches the Rfam family "Bacterial small subunit ribosomal RNA", at positions 524 to 776 of the family's 1533-position model. The record is from RNAcentral.
UACGUAGGGGUGCAAGCGUUGUCCGGAAUUAUUGGGCGUAAAGAGCUCGUAGGCGGUCUGUCGCGUCGGCUGUGGAAAACCUCGGGGCUCAACUCCGAGCUUGCAGUCGAUACGGGCAGGCUAGAGUUCGGCAGGGGAGACUGGAAUUCCUGGUGUAGCGGUGAAAUGCGCAGAUAUCAGGAGGAACACCGGUGGCGAAGGCGGGUCUCUGGGCCGAUACUGACGCUGAGGAGCGAAAGCGUGGGGAGCGAACAGG